This 572-nucleotide ribosomal RNA is filed under the name uncultured Lactobacillus sp. Its description in RNAcentral is "bacterial SSU rRNA". It matches the Rfam family "Bacterial small subunit ribosomal RNA", at positions 928 to 1501 of the family's 1533-position model. Lineage: Bacteria; Bacillati; Bacillota; Bacilli; Lactobacillales; Lactobacillaceae. The record is from RNAcentral.
AGCGGUGGAGUAUGUGGUUUAAUUCGAAGCUACGCGAAGAACCUUACCAGGUCUUGACAUCUUCUGCCAAUCCUAGAGAUAGGACGUUCCCUUCGGGGACAGAAUGACAGGUGGUGCAUGGUUGUCGUCAGCUCGUGUCGUGAGAUGUUGGGUUAAGUCCCGCAACGAGCGCAACCCUUAUUAUCAGUUGCCAGCAUUCAGUUGGGCACUCUGGUGAGACUGCCGGUGACAAACCGGAGGAAGGUGGAAAUGACGUCAAAUCAUCAUGCCCCUUAUGACCUGGGCUACACACGUGCUACAAUGGACGGUACAACGAGUCGCGAAGUCGUGAGGCUAAGCUAAUCUCUUAAAGCCGUUCUCAGUUCGGAUUGUAGGCUGCAACUCGCCUACAUGAAGUUGGAAUCGCUAGUAAUCGCGGAUCAGCAUGCCGCGGCGAAUACGUUCCCGGGCCUUGUACACACCGCCCGUCACACCAUGAGAGUUUGUAACACCCAAAGUCGGUGAGGUAACCUUUUGGAGCCAACCGCCUAAGGUGGGACAGAUGAUUAGGGUGAAGUCGUAACAAGGUAACC